CUGGCUCAGGACGAACGCUGGCGGCAUGCCUAACACAUGCAAGUCGAACGGAAGUAGCAAUACUUUAGUGGCGAACGGGUGAGUAACACGUGAGCAACCUGCCUUAUACUCAGGGAUAACAGUUGGAAACGACUGCUAAUACCGGAUAAGACCACACUAUGGCAUCAUAGAGGGGUCAAAGUGCUUUAGCGGUAUGAGAUGGGCUCGCGUCCAAUUAGCUAGUUGGUGGGGUAACGGCCCACCAAGGCGACGAUUGGUAGCCGACUUGAGAGAGUGAUCGGCCACACUGGAACUGAGACACGGUCCAGACUCCUACGGGAGGCAGCAGUGGGGAAUAUUGGGCAAUGGAGGAAACUCUUACCCAAGCAAUGCCGCGUGAGUGAUGAAGGUCUUUGGAUUGUAAAGCUCUUUGAUUGGGGAAGAAUAAAUGACGGUACCCAAAGAACAAGCCCCGGCUAACUAUGUGCCAGCAGCAGC
This 477-nucleotide ribosomal RNA is filed under the name uncultured bacterium. Its description in RNAcentral is "bacterial SSU rRNA". It matches the Rfam family "Bacterial small subunit ribosomal RNA", at positions 19 to 518 of the family's 1533-position model. The record is from RNAcentral.